Molecule: ribosomal RNA, 634 nt
Filed under: uncultured bacterium
Lineage: Bacteria
Description: partial 16S ribosomal RNA
Source: RNAcentral
UUGGGAGCUCUCCCAUAUGGUCGACCUGCAGGCGGCCGCGAAUUCACUAGUGAUUCGUAUUACCGCGGCUGCUGGCACAGAGUUAGCCGGUGCUUAUUCUGCGAGUAACGUCCACUAUCCAAGAGUAUUAAUCUCAGUAGCCUCCUCCUCGCUUAAAGUGCUUUACAACCAAAAGGCCUUCUUCACACACGCGGCAUGGCUGGAUCAGGCUUUCGCCCAUUGUCCAAUAUUCCCCACUGCUGCCUCCCGUAGGAGUCUGGGCCGUGUCUCAGUCCCAGUGUGGCGGAUCAUCCUCUCAGACCCGCUACAGAUCGUCGCCUUGGUAGGCCUUUACCCCACCAACUAGCUAAUCUGACUUAGGCUCAUCUGAUAGCGCAAGGCCCGAAGGUCCCCUGCUUUUGAUCUCUCGAUAUCAUGUGGUUUAGCCCGAGUUUCCUCGGGUUAUCCCACGCUCCAGGACAGAUUCCUACGUGUUACUCACCCGUCCGCCACUCGCCACCCUAUAAAGACCGAAAUAUUUACUGUGCUGCCGUUCGACUUGCAUGUGUUAGGCAUGCCCCCAGCGUUCAAUCUGAGCCAUGAUCAAACUCUAAUCGAAUUCCCGCGGCCGCCAUGGCAGCCGGGAGCAUGCGAC